UACGUAGGGGGCGAGCGUUGUCCGGAUUUAUUGGGCGUAAAGCGCAUGCAGGCGGUCCUGUAAGUUUGGAGUGACAGUUUCCGGCUCAACCGGGAAAGUGCUUUGAAAACUGCGGGACUUGAGGGCUUCAGAGGGACACGGAAUUCCGGGUGGAGUGGUGAAAUGCGUAGAUAUCAGGAGGAACACCGAUGGCGAAGGCAGGUCUCUGGGCCACUACUGACGCUGAGAAGCGAAAGCAUGGGGAGCGAACAGG
This 253-nucleotide ribosomal RNA is filed under the name uncultured bacterium. Its description in RNAcentral is "partial 16S ribosomal RNA". It matches the Rfam family "Bacterial small subunit ribosomal RNA", at positions 524 to 776 of the family's 1533-position model. The record is from RNAcentral.